UACGUAGGGUGCGAGCGUUGUCCGGAAUUAUUGGGCGUAAAGAGCUCGUAGGCGGUGUGUCGCGUCGGCCGUGAAAACCUGCAGCUUAACUGUGGGCGUGCGGUCGAUACGGGCAUCACUGGAGUUCGGCAGGGGAGACUGGAAUUCCUGGUGUAGCGGUGAAAUGCGCAGAUAUCAGGAGGAACACCGGUGGCGAAGGCGGGUCUCUGGGCCGAUACUGACGCUGAGGCGCGAAAGCGUGGGGAGCAAACAGG
Molecule: ribosomal RNA, 254 nt
Filed under: uncultured bacterium
Lineage: Bacteria
Description: partial 16S ribosomal RNA
Rfam family: Bacterial small subunit ribosomal RNA
Source: RNAcentral